AGACGCUGGCGGCGUGCCUAACACAUGCAAGUCGAGCGGGGUUGAAGCGAGGGGUAACUCGAGUUUCUACCUAGCGGCGGACGGGUGAGUAACGCGUGGGCAACCUGCCUCAAGGACUGGGAUAACAGCUCGAAAGGGCUGCUAAUACCGGAUAUGCCUGUGGCCUCGCAUGGGGCUAUGAGCAAAGGGGAAACCCGCCUUGAGAUGGGCCCGCGUCCCAUCAGCUAGUUGGUGAGGUGAAGGCUCACCAAGGCGACGACGGGUAGCCGGCCUGAGAGGGUGACCGGCCACACUGGGACUGAGACACGGCCCAGACUCCUACGGGGGGCAGCAGUGGGGAAUCUUGCACAAUGGGCGAAAGCCUGAUGCAGCGACGCCGCGUGAGCGAAGAAGGCCUUCGGGUUGUAAAGCUCUGUCUGGAGGGACGAAGGAAGUGACGGUACCUCCGGAGGAAGCCACGGCUAACUACGUG
Molecule: ribosomal RNA, 472 nt
Filed under: uncultured bacterium
Lineage: Bacteria
Description: bacterial SSU rRNA
Rfam family: Bacterial small subunit ribosomal RNA
Source: RNAcentral